ACACCUGUAGCUCAGUUGGUAGAGCAUGGUGUUUGCAACGCCAGGGUUAUGGGUUCGAUUCCCACGGGGGGC
Molecule: transfer RNA, 72 nt
Filed under: Salmo salar (Atlantic salmon)
Lineage: Eukaryota; Metazoa; Chordata; Actinopteri; Salmoniformes; Salmonidae
Rfam family: tRNA
About the family: Transfer RNA (tRNA) molecules are approximately 80 nucleotides in length.
Source: Rfam by way of RNAcentral